This is a long non-coding RNA of Bombina bombina (fire-bellied toad), 1094 nucleotides long. RefSeq lists it as uncharacterized. NCBI's taxonomy places the organism in Eukaryota, Metazoa, Chordata, Amphibia, Anura, Bombinatoridae. The transcript has 2 exons. The record is from RefSeq and is a predicted model, not a curated record.
UGGUGCCUACACCGCAGAGGACAGAAGGCCCGGGUACAACGGGAGUAGGACUAUCUGUACAGCCGGCAGGCGGAUCAGUGGCAGCUGCACCAGGAACAUCUACCCCUUCAACAUCGGCAGUUGGUGUGGCUACAGGUCCUUCUCGCAUCUGGAUAAUAGGGCACUCCUACGUGCACUGGGCGGCACUGAAGGCCCAUUCUCUUCCCGAGGGGCAGCAGUUGGGGAUUCCGACGUCUAAGGCAUCAAUACGGUGGUUGGGCCGUAGAGGCUUACAGUGGGAUGGUUUGCCUGCCCUCCUCCAGAAUGCCAGACAUAGAUGGGGACAGCCCCACAUCAUCCUCCUUCACAUGGGGGGAAAUGAUAUAGGGAGUGCACCUGCUCUGGAUCUCAUCAAUGCGAUGAGGUCAGAUGUCAGGUGGAUCUGUACCACGUUUCCGGGGGUUAGGUUGGCCUGGUCCAACAUAAUCCCCCGGCUGCGUUGGAGAUAUUUUCCCACACCGAGGAUAGCAUAUAGGGUUAGAAAAAAAGUUAACAGGGAGCUGGGUAGAGCAGUACUAGAGGUAGGGGGUUUUGUGGUCCGCCAUGAACUGAUCUCAGCGGACAAAAAAGGGCUGUAUCGCCCGGACGGGGUGCACCUGUCCGACGAAGGGCUGGCGAUCUUCCUGGCGGACCUCAAAACGGCUCUGGUUAGUAAUAUUUAGCGGGUGGCGGCAAGAGCCCGGCUUAUGUGGGAGUGCCUGUCUCUUGUGGCGGGAGGUCGUAGCCAUCAACAAUUGAGGGCGGAGUCUGUAGAGGUGACAGUCGGGCUAAUGGGCGGGGGUGAUGUCCUCAGGUCGUGACCUGGGGGGCCCCGCCCCGCGGGUCUGCUGGCUGAAGAUCCUUUAGGACGUCCGCGCCUAUUAGACGGAAUGGGGUGGGGCCACAUUUGUGCCCACCCUUGGCAUUUGCAAUUCCACAACAUCUGGCUGCGACUUCUUGUCAUAUGGAGCUAAUAGUUUACUAGGCCUCGAAUGCCGCCACACGUUAAAUAUUUGAAUGACUUCCGUUGAAGUCAAGUUAAUAAAUAUGACCAUCGUUAUGGUCUUUAAAUCCCA